RNAcentral lists this ribosomal RNA (500 nucleotides) under uncultured bacterium. RNAcentral's name for it is "partial 16S ribosomal RNA". It matches the Rfam family "Bacterial small subunit ribosomal RNA", at positions 30 to 523 of the family's 1533-position model. The record is from RNAcentral.
AUUGAACGCUGGCGGCAGGCCUAACACAUGCAAGUCGAGCGGAUGAGAGGAGCUUGCUCCUUGAUUCAGCGGCGGACGGGUGGGUAAUGCCUAGGAAUCUGCCUGGUAGUGGGGGACAACGUUUCGAAAGGAACGCUAAUACCGCAUACGUCCUACGGGAGAAAGCAGGGGACCUUCGGGCCUUGCGCUAUCAGAUGAGCCUAGGUCGGAUUAGCUAGUUGGUGAGGUAAUGGCUCACCAAGGCGACGAUCCGUAACUGGUCUGAGAGGAUGAUCAGUCACACUGGAACUGAGACACGGUCCUGACUCCUACGGGAGGCAGCAGUGGGGAAUAUUGGACAAUGGGCGAAAGCCUGAUCCAGCCAUGCCGCGUGUGUGAAGAAGGUCUUCGGAUUGUAAAGCACUUUAAGUUGGGAGGAAGGGCAGUAAGUUAAUACCUUGCUGUUUUGACGUUACCGACAGAAUAAGCACCGGCUAACUCUGUGCCAGCAGCCGCAGUAA